This 292-nucleotide ribosomal RNA is filed under the name uncultured bacterium. RNAcentral describes it as "partial 16S ribosomal RNA". It matches the Rfam family "Bacterial small subunit ribosomal RNA", at positions 505 to 796 of the family's 1533-position model. The record is from RNAcentral.
GUGUCAGCAGCCGCGGUAAGACGGAAGGUGCAAGCGUUGCUCGGAAUCACUGGGCGUAAAGGGUGCGUAGGCGGCCGUGCAAGUCUGGCGUGAAAGCCCCGGGCUCAGCCCGGGAAGUGCGCUCGAAACUGCGCGGCUCGAGUGCCGGAGGGGAGAGUGGAAUUCCUGGUGUAGCGGUGAAAUGCGUAGAUAUCAGGAGGAAUACCGGUGGCGAAAGCGACUCUCUGGACGGCAACUGACGCUGAGGCACGAAAGCGUGGGGAGCAAACAGGAUUAGAUACCCUGGUAGUCC